GAUGAACGCUGGCGGCGUGCUUAACACAUGCAAGUCGAACGGGAAUGCUUCGCUGAUGCGAUUUCGGUCAAAUCUUGAAGCAUUUUAGUGGCGGACGGGUGAGUAACGCGUGGGUAACCUGCCCUGUACAGGGGGACAACAGUUGGAAACGACUGCUAAUACCGCAUAAGCGCACAGCUUCGCAUGAAGCGGUGUGAAAAACGCCGGUGGUACAGGAUGGACCCGCGUCUGAUUAGAUAGUUGGUGAGGUAACGGCCCACCAAGUCGACGAUCAGUAGCCGGCCUGGGAGGGCGAACGGCCACAUUGGGACUGAGACACGGCCCAAACUCCUACGGGAGGCAGCAGUGGGGAAUAUUGGACAAUGGGGGAAACCCUGAUCCAGCCAUGCCGCGUGAAUGAUGAAGGCCUUCGGGUUGUAAAGUUCUUUUGGUGGGGACGAUGAUGACGGUACCCACAGAAUAAGCUCCGGCUAACUUCGUGCCAGCCGCCGCCGUAA
RNAcentral lists this ribosomal RNA (497 nucleotides) under uncultured bacterium. RNAcentral's name for it is "partial 16S ribosomal RNA". It matches the Rfam family "Bacterial small subunit ribosomal RNA", at positions 28 to 523 of the family's 1533-position model. The record is from RNAcentral.